RNAcentral lists this transfer RNA (88 nucleotides) under Flammeovirgaceae bacterium UBA7355. RNAcentral describes it as "tRNA-Ser(gga)". It matches the Rfam family "tRNA". From Rfam's summary of the family: Transfer RNA (tRNA) molecules are approximately 80 nucleotides in length. Their secondary structure includes four short double-helical elements and three loops (D, anti-codon, and T loops). Lineage: Bacteria; Pseudomonadati; Bacteroidota; Cytophagia; Cytophagales; Flammeovirgaceae. The record is from RNAcentral.
GGAGAGGUGGCCGAGUGGCUGAAGGCGCACGCUUGGAAAGCGUGUAUAUCCUUACGGGUAUCGGGGGUUCGAAUCCCUUCCUCUCCGC